This 148-nucleotide non-coding RNA is filed under the name Pan troglodytes (chimpanzee). Lineage: Eukaryota; Metazoa; Chordata; Mammalia; Primates; Hominidae. The record is from Rfam by way of RNAcentral.
GCUGGGCAUGGUGGCGUGUGCCUAUAGUCCUAGCUACUCGGGAGGCUGAGGUGGGAGGAUUGCUUGAGCCCGGGAGGCAGAGGUUGCAGUGAGCCGAGAUCGUGCCACUGCACUUCAGCCUGGGCAAAAGAGUGAGACCCUGUCUCUA